GGAAUUGUGCGGGAAGUAAUUGAUGAACAUGUAGCCCCGCGCCUGAUCGAUCGUGUGGAACAGCGGGUUCCAAUCGAAGAUCGCGAGCAUCCAUGCGGGCAGAGAGUUGGCGACGAACAUCUUUCCGGAGGUGAUCAUGUUGGCUCGCGUG
This 151-nucleotide non-coding RNA is filed under the name Pseudoruegeria aquimaris. Its description in RNAcentral is "Ruegeria cis2 sRNA". It matches the Rfam family "Ruegeria cis2 sRNA". Rfam says of the family: Cis-encoded. The record is from Rfam by way of RNAcentral. Lineage: Bacteria; Pseudomonadati; Pseudomonadota; Alphaproteobacteria; Rhodobacterales; Roseobacteraceae.